This 437-nucleotide ribosomal RNA is filed under the name uncultured bacterium. Its description in RNAcentral is "bacterial SSU rRNA". It matches the Rfam family "Bacterial small subunit ribosomal RNA", at positions 29 to 514 of the family's 1533-position model. The record is from RNAcentral.
AACGAACGCUGGCGGCAUGCCUAACACAUGCAAGUCGAACGAGACCUUCGGGUCUAGUGGCGCACGGGUGCGUAACGCGUGGGAAUCUGCCCUGGGGUGCGGAAUAACUCGGAGAAAUCCGUGCUAAUACCGCAUAAUGUCUUCGGACCAAAGAUUUAUCGCCCUGGGAUGAGCCCGCGUAGGAUUAGCUAGUUGGUGGGGUAAAGCCUACCAAGGCGACGAUCCUUAGCUGGUCUGAGAGGAUGAUCAGCCACACUGGGACUGAGACACGGCCCAGACUCCUACGGGAGGCAGCAGUGGGGAAUAUUGGACAAUGGCGAAGCCUGAUCCAGCAAUGCCGCGUGAGUGAUGAAGGCCCUAGGGUUGUAAAGCUCUUUUACCCGGGGAUGAUAAUGACAGUACCGGGAGAUAAGCUCCGGCUAACUCCGUGCCAGCAG